UGCUCCCGGAUGUUAGCGGCGGACGGGUGAGUAACACGUGGGUAACCUGCCUGUAAGACUGGGAUAACUCCGGGAAACCGGAGCUAAUACCGGAUAGUUCCUUGAACCGCAUGGUUCAAGGAUGAAAGACGGUUUCGGCUGUCACUUACAGAUGGACCCGCGGCGCAUUAGCUAGUUGGUGAGGUAACGGCUCACCAAGGCGACGAUGCGUAGCCGACCUGAGAGGGUGAUCGGCCACACUGGGACUGAGACACGGCCCAGACUCCUACGGGAGGCAGCAGUAGGGAAUCUUCCGCAAUGGACGAAAGUCUGACGGAGCAACGCCGCGUGAGUGAUGAAGGUUUUCGGAUCGUAAAGCUCUGUUGUUAGGGAAGAACAAGUGCAAGAGUAACUGCUUGCACCUUGACGGUACCUAACCAGAAAGCCACGGCUAACUACGUGCCAGCAGCCGCGGUAAUACGUAGGUGGCAAGCGUUGUCCGGAAUUAUUGGGCGUAAAGGGCUCGCAGGCGGUUUCUUAAGUCUGAUGUGAAAGCCCCCGGCUCAACCGGGGAGGGUCAUUGGAAACUGGGAAACUUGAGUGCAGAAGAGGAGAGUGGAAUUCCACGUGUAGCGGUGAAAUGCGUAGAGAUGUGGAGGAACACCAGUGGCGAAGGCGACUCUCUGGUCUGUAACUGACGCUGAGGAGCGAAAGCGUGGGGAGCGAACAGGAUUAGAUACCCUGGUAGUCCACGCCGUAAACGAUGAGUGCUAAGUGUUAGGGGGUUUCCGCCCCUUAGUGCUGCAGCUAACGCAUUAAGCACUCCGCCUGGGGAGUACGGUCGCAAGACUGAAACUCAAAGGAAUUGACGGGGGCCCGCACAAGCGGUGGAGCAUGUGGUUUAAUUCGAAGCAACGCGAAGAACCUUACCAGGUCUUGACAUCCUCUGACAACCCUAGAGAUAGGGCUUUCCCUUCGGGGACAGAGUGACAGGUGGUGCAUGGUUGUCGUCAGCUCGUGUCGUGAGAUGUUGGGUUAAGUCCCGCAACGAGCGCAACCCUUGAUCUUAGUUGCCAGCAUUCAGUUGGGCACUCUAAGGUGACUGCCGGUGACAAACCGGAGGAAGGUGGGGAUGACGUCAAAUCAUCAUGCCCCUUAUGACCUGGGCUACACACGUGCUACAAUGGACAGAACAAAGGGCUGCGAGACCGCAAGGUUUAGCCAAUCCCACAAAUCUGUUCUCAGUUCGGAUCGCAGUCUGCAACUCGACUGCGUGAAGCUGGAAUCGCUAGUAAUCGCGGAUCAGCAUGCCGCGGUGAAUACGUU
Molecule: ribosomal RNA, 1305 nt
Filed under: Bacillus sp. (in: firmicutes)
Lineage: Bacteria; Bacillati; Bacillota; Bacilli; Caryophanales; Bacillaceae
Description: bacterial SSU rRNA
Rfam family: Bacterial small subunit ribosomal RNA
Source: RNAcentral